Molecule: long non-coding RNA, 1276 nt
Filed under: Anser cygnoides (Swan goose)
Lineage: Eukaryota; Metazoa; Chordata; Aves; Anseriformes; Anatidae
Description: lncRNA (ENSACDG00005010796.1)
Source: RNAcentral
AUGAUGGUGGUUUACACCUGCAGCAGGCACCAGGCAGCUCAGAAUUUUUGGGAUUUAGGUGGUAUUGUAAAUUUUCAGCAAGAGAAAUUCAGAAAUUUGGGUAACUUCAUUGCUGAAAGCUUAUAUACCUUAUACAGGGUCUUCAUGUUUCUGAAGCAUCUUUUAGGAGACCACUUCACUCUUAGAUCUGAAAGGUCCUGCAGCGUUCUACGGUGGAGUCCCACUGUGAAGGCCUUGGCUUUGUUCUUUAAAAAGAAACACCAAAAAAGCAUUUAAUGCACCAUCUCCCUCAAGUUCUUGCUCAUCACUGAAAAUCCUUGCUGGCUCCCAUGAACUCACCGCAGCUAUUGGCAGUGAUUUCAGUGAAGCAGUGCAAGCUUUUCAUUCAAACUGUUUCUCAGGCAGCCUUAUUAGGUUGAUGCAUUAUAGCAAUUAUUUCACCAUGGGGAUAGUAUUUAUUUUUAAGGGUGACUAGAUCUGGUGUCUCAAUCCUAUGCUGAAAGUUUCACUCUCCUCUUUACCCCUGAUUGUGGAAAAGAUUUUAUGAACUUCUUAAUGAACAUUGGUCACUUUGUUCACUCCAUGCUAAAAUGCCAUAGCAGGUAUUUUUCCUGGCCAUUCACACAGAAAUACUCUGUCCUGCCAGAGGCAGCAAUUUCAGGCGGAUCCCAAGGCAAAUAGUGUCUCCUUAGUAUUCCAGGCAUAUUAUCAGUACAGGCACAACAUAAUUCCACAGCUACCCAGCCAACAGCAAUGCAGCGGUGCACUUUUUAUAAGUCUUAACACCUUUUAGCAGGGCAGACAGUUAUUCAGGAUGGUGCCUAAAUUAACUGUACAGCAAAUGAACUUAACUGAGAUGCAGGUGGUGCUAAAAAUGUUGGGGGUAGGUUUGGGGAGGAUAUUUAGUUUUUCCUUAUACUCUUAUGAGCUCUGACAUACACUUGUAGGCAAUACUAGAUUUGGGAAGAAAAUAAGGGAGGGAGGGCAACGGCCUUCUGGCAAGUUUUGAAGUGAUAGUUCUUUGCAUUUUGUAGUAAAAUUGGGCAGAUGUAUCUGAUACACUUUGGAAAUUUUUUACUCUAUUUUCCAGAGUGGGUUGCUAAUUAGAGAGUCCUGAGAAGGCAGAUAUUUUAAUUUACCAAGUCACUUAUAUAGAUAUAUAGCUAUAUUUUGUAUUUAUGCACAGAAGAUUAAGAGCCUUUAGUGAAGAUCCUGCUCAUACACUUAAUAAUGCAAUAGAUUAAUUGUAGUAGAAUAUCCUUUUUCAUUUUCAGAU